AGUGAACGCUGGCGGUAGGCCUAACACAUGCAAGUCGAACGGCAGCACAGUAAGAGCUUGCUCUUACGGGUGGCGAGUGGCGGACGGGUGAGGAAUACAUCGGAAUCUACUUUUUCGUGGGGGAUAACGUAGGGAAACUUACGCUAAUACCGCAUACGACCUACGGGUGAAAGCAGGGGAUCUUCGGACCUUGCGCGAUUGAAUGAGCCGAUGUCGGAUUAGCUAGUUGGCGGGGUAAAGGCCCACCAAGGCGACGAUCCGUAGCUGGUCUGAGAGGAUGAUCAGCCACACUGGAACUGAGACACGGUCCAGACUCCUACGGGAGGCAGCAGUGGGGAAUAUUGGACAAUGGGCGCAAGCCUGAUCCAGUCAUACCGCGUGGGUGAAGAAGGCCUUCGGGUUGUAAAGCCCUUUUGUUGGGAAAGAAAAGCAGCAGGUUAAUACCCCGCUGUUCCGACGGUACCCAAAGAAUAAGCACCGGCUAACUUCGUG
Molecule: ribosomal RNA, 492 nt
Filed under: uncultured bacterium
Lineage: Bacteria
Description: partial 16S ribosomal RNA
Rfam family: Bacterial small subunit ribosomal RNA
Source: RNAcentral